CCUACGGGAGGCAGCAGUGGGGAAUAUUGGACAAUGGGGGGAACCCUGAUCCAGCGACGCCGCGUGAGUGAAGAAGUAUUUCGGUAUGUAAAGCUCUAUCAGCAGGGAAGAAAGAAAUGACGGUACCUGACUACGAAGCCCCGGCUAACUACGUGCCAGCAGCCGCGGUAAUACGUAGGGGGCAAGCGUUAUCCGGAUUUACUGGGUGUAAAGGGAGCGUAGACGGCGAUGCAAGUCUGAAGUGAAAGGCGGGGGCCCAACCCCCGGAUUGCUUUGGAAACUGUAUGGCUGGAGUGCAGGAGAGGUAAGUGGAAUUCCUAGUGUAGCGGUGAAAUGCGUAGAUAUUAGGAGGAACACCAGUGGCGAAGGCGGCUUACUGGACUGUAACUGACGUUGAGGCUCGAAAGCGUGGGGAGCAAACAGGAUUAGAUACCCUGGUAGUC
Molecule: ribosomal RNA, 443 nt
Filed under: uncultured bacterium
Lineage: Bacteria
Description: partial 16S ribosomal RNA
Rfam family: Bacterial small subunit ribosomal RNA
Source: RNAcentral